RNAcentral lists this unclassified non-coding RNA (337 nucleotides) under soil metagenome. Its description in RNAcentral is "partial contains 5.8S ribosomal RNA, internal transcribed spacer 2, and large subunit ribosomal RNA". The stretch from base 1 to 120 matches the Rfam family "5.8S ribosomal RNA", at positions 35 to 154 of the family's 154-position model. The record is from RNAcentral.
GAUGAAGAACGUAGCGAAAUGCGAUAAGUAGUGUGAAUUGCAGAAUUCAGUGAAUCAUCGAAUCUUUGAACGCACAUUGCGCCCCUUGGUAUUCCAUGGGGCAUGCCUGUUCGAGCGUCAUUUGUACCUUCAAGCUCUGCUUGGCGUUGGGUGUUUGUCUCGCCUCUGCGUGUAGACUCGCCUCAAAACAAUUGGCAGCCGGCGUAUUGAUUUCGGAGCGCAGUACAUCUCGCGCUUUGCACUCAUAACGACGACGUCCAAAAGUACAUUUUUACACUCUUGACCUCGGAUCAGGUAGGGAUACCCGCUGAACUUAAGCAUAUCAAUAAGCGGAGGA